GUAGUUCAGCCUGGUAGAACGCUUGCAUGGGGUGCAAGAGGUCGUGAGUUCGAAUCUCGCC
RNAcentral lists this transfer RNA (61 nucleotides) under Verrucomicrobiales bacterium. Its description in RNAcentral is "tRNA-Pro". It matches the Rfam family "tRNA", at positions 7 to 64 of the family's 71-position model. Rfam says of the family: Transfer RNA (tRNA) molecules are approximately 80 nucleotides in length. Their secondary structure includes four short double-helical elements and three loops (D, anti-codon, and T loops). Further hydrogen bonds mediate the characteristic L-shaped molecular structure. tRNAs have two regions of fundamental functional importance: the anti-codon, which is responsible for specific mRNA codon recognition, and the 3' end, to which the tRNAs corresponding amino acid is attached (by aminoacyl-tRNA synthetases). tRNAs cope with the degeneracy of the genetic code in two manners: having more than one tRNA (with a specific anti-codon) for a particular amino acid; and 'wobble' base-pairing, i.e. permitting non-standard base-pairing at the 3rd anti-codon position. Lineage: Bacteria; Pseudomonadati; Verrucomicrobiota; Verrucomicrobiia; Verrucomicrobiales. The record is from RNAcentral.